ACACAAAGACAUAAGUUUGACAUUCAACAUCAAUCCCUCUUAGCAUCCAUUGAUCACAUUUUUUAGCAUUACAUCUGUUAAAAAAUUGAAGAGCAAAUCCCGAGAGCUUGAACUUCACAUUUAGAAGAAAUCUAGUCUUUUACAAUAGCAUAUAUGUCUAUAGUAAUUUUUAUGCCAAGUAACUUCAAAACAGAACAGAAAUGAAGCUUUUGCAAGAAUAGAAUAGAAUAUAUGCUACUUUCGAUCCAAACAAGGUUUCUCAUAGGAAUAACAACAAAUAACUUGAGGUCCCUCAAGGCAACAACAACAACAACAAAUUUGAACGAAUUUGAGAGAGGAGAGAUAUUCAGCAGCAGGAAUGUUCAGACUGUUGUUUAGAAAAUUAUUUGGACAGCUACCAAACUGUCGUUUAGACAACUACAUGGAGUGUUGAAUACUUCUAACUCUUUGCCUUAGUAAACUAUAGUUUAUUAGUACAAACUUAUAACCUUUGCCUCAAUAAACAUCAGACAACAACUAUGAACUCUUCCCUCGGUAACAACAAUUCACAAUGGGCGUGGAAGCUAGAAAUUAGAUAACUAGUACUGAAUUCAAUAGCAGGAAUGUUCAGACUCACGGUGUUAUUUAUUGUGUUUGUUUGUAAGCAAGGUUCUGACACUAAAAGAAACAAAAACGGAAGAUUAUUUUUAUGCAUGCUUGCUCACCGGUGGCGGUGGCGGGGCAGUAGGUCUUGCCGUAGAGCCUGCAAAUGUGGGAGCGGGUGGCGGUCUCGAAGAAGGUGAGCACCAACCUCUUUUGUGCUUUGCGGUGAGUAGGCUCCAAAUAAAAAUGGACGACCACGCAGAAGGUUGCAUAUGGAUGAACUGAUGACCCAUUUUUUCUCGUACUGAAGCUUCUCUGUAUUGAAGCUUGUUUCCAGAAAUCAUAUCAGUGGGUCAUUAAACACAUGUAGCAACAUCGAAAGAGGAACAUGAGAAAAAGAAGACACGGAUAUACAAGAACUACAGUGGACAAACCAAUAAUAUAAAUCCUUAAGCAAUAAUCGAGAGAGCUCAGAAUCUCCAUGGAAGAUGCCUAUGCAUUUGCUACGGAAGGGCCGCCCACUCCCAUGCUCUAUCUCCUCCCACUCCCUGCACACACACAGAGCAGAGAGAGAGGAUGAGACUGAGAUGACUGAGGCGGAUAGAGGACGGAGCACAAGGUGGCCUGCAUGCAGCUUUUCUCGUGCCCGGCUAUGGAGCAUGAUGUCGUACUGGCGAGGCAAAGGUCCAAAUAUAUCACCUAAAUAAGUUCAAAGAAUUUUACAAAAACAAGCAGGCAACAAAGAGAUAAGGCAUGUCCCUAUCAGGCACAAGUUCUAUAUAUAGAAGGACUAGUAAGGGUCUCAGGAAUCGACUACAUUAUUUCAAUCAACUAGAUCUUCAUCAGUACUAGAAUGACUGGAAAAGAAGUUUAAAAGCUACAUGUGUGCUAUGACUAAGAAUAGAACUCAAAAAGAAUUUUUCUGGAGUUGGAAUAAGACGUCAGAGAUCAGGUGGACCAGCUACACCUCCUCCUAUGGACUGAUUGCUUUGGUGAAGUGGAGCUGAUGGAGGCACAGAUCAUGAGCGCCGCCAGGAUUUGGCCGCUGCAGGGAAUCUAUCAGUGAGCAUACAUCACAAAAGCAAAUGUUCAAAGCAAAAUGAGAUGGCUUUCUUACUGUGUGGUUGAUCAAUGGGUGCAGCGCUUGGAGGCAGAGAUCAUGAGCGGCGCUAUGAUUGGUCCGCUGGUCCUUUUUUUAUACUGGUAAUGGAGAUACUGAAUCUAAAACAAAGGGGCUAACCUUAAUGACAACUAGUCUCAACUCUGACCUUUUCUACAACCUUUUGUCGAACUGAUAAUGACUGGGAGUAGGACAAGAUUAGGGCGGUUCAGAGGAAGUUAAGCAGCAUUGGAUCACUUGUUACAUUCAGAGAACUACACCCAUCCAUCCAUCUAUCCAUUGAACAGAAAAGGCAGAAGAAAUUUGCCAACUCCAUCUCUGAUCUAAUAACAAAUCAAGAAAAGAGUAGAAUCAAAAAA
RNAcentral lists this long non-coding RNA (2061 nucleotides) under Triticum aestivum (bread wheat). RNAcentral's name for it is "long non-coding RNA (TAES_LNC027359)". Lineage: Eukaryota; Viridiplantae; Streptophyta; Magnoliopsida; Poales; Poaceae. The record is from RNAcentral.